This 229-nucleotide ribosomal RNA is filed under the name uncultured Lactobacillus sp. RNAcentral describes it as "partial 16S ribosomal RNA". It matches the Rfam family "Bacterial small subunit ribosomal RNA", at positions 134 to 355 of the family's 1533-position model. The record is from RNAcentral. Lineage: Bacteria; Bacillati; Bacillota; Bacilli; Lactobacillales; Lactobacillaceae.
UAGUCUGGGAUACCACUUGGAAACAGGUGCUAAUACCGGAUAAGAAAGCGGAUCGCAUGAUCAGCUUUUAAAAGGCGGCGUAAGCUGUCGCUAUGGGAUGGCCCCGCGGUGCAUUAGCUAGUUGGUAAGGUAAAGGCUUACCAAGGCGAUGAUGCAUAGCCGAGUUGAGAGACUGAUCGGCCACAUUGGGACUGAGACACGGCCCAAACUCCUACGGGAGGCAGCAGCA